Molecule: ribosomal RNA, 337 nt
Filed under: uncultured bacterium
Lineage: Bacteria
Description: partial 16S ribosomal RNA
Rfam family: Bacterial small subunit ribosomal RNA
Source: RNAcentral
CCUACGUGUGGCAGCAGUGGGGAAUAUUGCGCAAUGGGCGAAAGCCUGACGCAGCGACGCCGCGUGAGGGAUGCAGGUCUUCGGAUCGUAAACCUCUGUCAGCAGGGAAGAACGGUAACUGUGCUAAUCAGCAGUGAAUUGACGGUAUCUGCAAAGGAAGCACCGCCUAACUCCGUGCCAGCAGCCGCGGUAAUACGGAGGGUUCGAGCGUUAAUCGGAAUUACUGUGCGUAAAGCGAUCGUAGGCGGUAUGUCAAGUCAAGGGUGAAAUCCCCGCGCUCAACGUUGGAACUGCCUUUGAAACUGGCAAACUGGAGUGUGUGAGAGGAUAGUGGAAU